UACGUAGGAUGCGAGCGUUUUCCGGAAUUAUUGGGCGUAAAGAGCUUGUUGGCUGUUUGUCUCGUCUGCCGUGAAAAUCCGGGGCUCAACCCCGGACUUGCGGUGGGUACGGGCAGACUAGAGUGUGGUAGGGGAGACUGGAAUUCCUGGUGUAGCGGUGAAAUGCGCAGAUAUCAGGAGGAACACCGGUGGCGAAGGCGGGUCUCUGGGCAGUAACUGACGCUGAGGAGCGAAAGCGUGGGGAGCGAACAGG
This 253-nucleotide ribosomal RNA is filed under the name uncultured bacterium. RNAcentral describes it as "partial 16S ribosomal RNA". It matches the Rfam family "Bacterial small subunit ribosomal RNA", at positions 524 to 776 of the family's 1533-position model. The record is from RNAcentral.